GGGUUAAGAUGGCAAGUCUAUAUUGAGUGGGACCUCAUAUUGUAGCUGCUUCAGUAGAUGUAACAGUAGAUGUAUAGUUUUAGCAGGAGGAAUGCAGUGGGAGACAAGGUAAUAACAGUGUAGAUGUUACAGUAGAUGUAUAGUUUUAGCAGGAGGAAUGCAGUGGGAGACAAGGUAAUAACAGUGUAGAUGUUACAGUAGAUGUAUAGUUUUAGCAGGAGGAAUGCAGUGGGAGACAAGGUAAUAACAGUGUAGAUGUUACAGUAGAUGUAUAGUUUUAGCAGGAGGAAUGCAGUGGGAGACAAGGUAAUAACAGUGUAGAUGUUACAGUAGAUGUAUAGUUUUAGCAGGAGGAAUGCAGUGGGAGACAAGGUAAUAACAGUGUAGAUGUUACAGUAGAUGUAUAGUUUUAGCAGGAGGAAUGCAGUGGGAGACAAGGUAAUAACAGUGUAGAUGUUACAGUAGAUGUAUAGUUUUAGCAGGAGGAAUGCAGUGGGAGACAAGGUAAUAACAGUGUAGAUGUUACAGUAGAUGUAUAGUUUUAGCAGGAGGAAUGCAGUGGGAGACAAGGUAAUAACAGUGUAGAUGUUACAGUAGAUGUAUAGUUUUAGCAGGAGGAAUGCAGUGGGAGACAAGGUAAUAACAGUGUAGAUGUUACAGUAGAUGUAUAGUUUUAGCAGGAGGAAUGCAGUGGGAGACAAGGUAAUAACAGUGUAGAUGUUACAGUAGAUGUAUAGUUUUAGCAGGAGGAAUGCAGUGGGAGACAAGGUAAUAACAGUGUAGAUGUUACAGUAGAUGUAUAGUUUUAGCAGGAGGAAUGCAGUGGGAGACAAGGUAAUAACAGUGUAGAUGUUACAGUAGAUGUAUAGUUUUAGCAGGAGGAAUGCAGUGGGAGACAAGGUAAUAACAGUGUAGAUGUUACAGUAGAUGUAUAGUUUUAGCAGGAGGAAUGCAGUGGGAGACAAGGUAAUAACAGUGUAGAUGUUACAGUAGAUGUAUAGUUUUAGCAGGAGGAAUGCAGUGGGAGACAAGGUAAUAACAGUGUAGAUGUUACAGUAGAUGUAUAGUUUUAGCAGGAGGAAUGCAGUGGGAGACAAGGUAAUAACAGUGUAGAUGUUACAGUAGAUGUAUAGUUUUAGCAGGAGGAAUGCAGUGGGAGACAAGGUAAUAACAGUGUAGAUGUUACAGUAGAUGUAUAGUUUUAGCAGGAGGAAUGCAGUGGGAGACAAGGUAAUAACAGUGUAGAUGUUACAGUAGAUGUAUAGUUUUAGCAGGAGGAAUGCAGUGGGAGACAAGGUAAUAACAGUGUAGAUGUUACAGUAGAUGUAUAGUUUUAGCAGGAGGAAUGCAGUGGGAGACAAGGUAAUAACAGUGUAGAUGUUACAGUAGAUGUAUAGUUUUAGCAGGAGGAAUGCAGUGGGAGACAAGGUAAUAACAGUGUAGAUGUUACAGUAGAUGUAUAGUUUUAGCAGGAGGAAUGCAGUGGGAGACAAGGUAAUAACAGUGUAGAUGUUACAGUAGAUGUAUAGUUUUAGCAGGAGGAAUGCAGUGGGAGACAAGGUAAUAACAGUGUAGAUGUUACAGUAGAUGUAUAGUUUUAGCAGGAGGAAUGCAGUGGGAGACAAGGUAAUAACAGUGUAGAUGUUACAGUAGAUGUAUAGUUUUAGCAGGAGGAAUGCAGUGGGAGACAAGGUAAUAACAGUGUAGAUGUUACAGUAGAUGUAUAGUUUUAGCAGGAGGAAUGCAGUGGGAGACAAGGUAAUAACAGUGUAGAUGUUACAGUAGAUGUAUAGUUUUAGCAGGAGGAAUGCAGUGGGAGACAAGGUAAUAACAGUGUAGAUGUUACAGUAGCACCGGUGCUGUAGUUGAUCUAACUAGAGUUUUAAUGUUUCUACUGUGCAACAAAGGUGUGCAACGUAUUAUCAGAGUAUAUACUAACCACACCAGACUUGGGCUGUUUGAGUUAUUAUUUUGACCGUGUUGAAAUCCCAAGGGAAUAUCCUGAACGGUAGAGAGAGAGAGAGAGAGAGAGAGAGCUAUGGUGAACUACAGUAUCCAUCCCAACACACCUCUAGUAAGUAACAAGUCGUUAGAUUCCGAUCUCCUUUACUGUUCAAAGCCAUCAAUCCCUGGACAUAACGACCUGAGGAUCGUAGACCACGAAUGAUUAUGAUGAUGGUCACCAUCAUUAAAGUCUCAGGCAACGUAAGGUCGUUCACUGGCUGAUGAAGUGUCUGUGUUGCAAUUGGCUGGUCUACAACUGGAGUGACCGCUGUGUUGCAAUUGUCUGGUGUAGAACAGGAAGCAGGAAGCAUAGCCUUUGCUGGACAGCUUUUCACUCUAACAUUUGCUAUUUUACUGUGCUGCCACCGUGUCCUCAGUGUUUGGUGUUUGUUUUUGGCUUCGCAAAUGCUGCUCAUGUCAGAUGUUAAUCCACAUCUGGGCAAAAUAAGGUAUUUUUCUUCAUGAGCAUUUGCAAUGACAAUGAUAUAACUAACUGAUGUGACCUGAUGUUCAGAUAUACACAUGCUAUUGAGAGGUAAUGACACUUACUGCCUAUGAAGACGCUUAUGGAAGAACACGAUACAAAACAACAGCAAAUUCAUGUUUUUAUAUUGUACAUAAUGAUACUGUGUAGAUUUUCUUGUGUAUGUAUGUGAAAUGCAUUUUAUUCCAUUUCUUUCCCAAACUACUCAGUGGCAAAAAUAUAUGUUCUUUUUCCAACUAGAUUUCAGUUACAUUUUACAAUGGCAGGUCGGAGACAGCUUUCGGCAUGUACCUUGCAGGAGUAUAGUAAGCUAGUAGGCUGAAUGGAAACCAACCAACACAUGCUAAUCCACGAUUCUCUCACAUCUCACCCAGUGUCUUUCACUCACAGACAGAUUCCAAAGGGCCUCCCACUCACUCACUCAGUCACCUACCACAGAUGAGGGACACAUUGUCCCCUGCCUGUCCCUGUCCCUCCCUGUCACACCUGCUAUUUCCCUAUGGGGCCCAGUCCAGGGACCCAGGGCAUGCAUCACUCUGCUGUAUCAUGGCACCUGAUCAUCAGCAGCAGCUUCCUUCCCUUCUCUCAAUA
Oncorhynchus keta (chum salmon) is the source of this 3079-nucleotide long non-coding RNA. RefSeq lists it as uncharacterized. The record is from RefSeq and is a predicted model, not a curated record. Lineage: Eukaryota; Metazoa; Chordata; Actinopteri; Salmoniformes; Salmonidae. The transcript is spliced from 3 exons.